RNAcentral lists this non-coding RNA (846 nucleotides) under Scincopus fasciatus. RNAcentral describes it as "partial 12S ribosomal RNA". It matches the Rfam family "Bacterial small subunit ribosomal RNA". Lineage: Eukaryota; Metazoa; Chordata; Lepidosauria; Squamata; Scincidae. The record is from RNAcentral.
ACAAAGUUUUGGUCCUAAACUUGCCAUUGUUUUUAAUCAAAAUUACACAUGCAAGUCUCCGCACACCAGUGAGAAUGCCCACUAAUCCCCAAACAGCCUAGAGGAGCUGGCAUCAGGAUCGGGCCCCUACCCGCCCAAGACGCCUUGCUACGCCACAUCCCCACGGACCCCAGCAGUGACUAACAUUAAUACAUGAGUGAAAACUCGACUUAGUUAUGAUUUAUUUAAGCCGGUAAAUUUCGUGCCAGCCACCGCGGUUAUACGAAAGGCUUUAAACAAUGACCAACGGCGUAAAGCGUGAUUAGAGUAAAGGUUAAAAAAUUAAAGAACAACCACUGCCCAACUGUAAAACGCUACCGCAGACAGGAACACCAACAAAAUGUCUUUAAACAACGAAACCUCUUGACCUCACGAGGGCCAAGAAACAAACUGGGAUUAGAUACCCCACUAUAGCUUGGCUAUAAACAUAGGUAGAACCAACACAAAUCUACCCGCCAGAGAACUACAAGCGAAAAGCUGCAAACUCCAAGGACUUGGCGGUGCUCCACACCAACCUAGAGGAGCCUGUCCUGUAAUCGAUAUUCCACGCUAAACCUUACCACUUCUAGCCAAUCAGCCUAUAUACCGCCGUCGCCAGCCUACCCUAUGAAGGCAGAACAGUAAGCAAAAUAGUUAACAACUAAUACGUCAGGUCAAGGUGUAGCACAUGAUGUGGUAGAGAUGGGCUACAUUUUCUGACACAGAAAACACGGAAGCCAUAGUGAAACCUAUGCCCAAAGGCGGAUUUAGCAGUAAGGCGUGCAAGAAAGAACACCUUAAACCUGCUCUGGAGCGCGCACACACCGC